This 771-nucleotide ribosomal RNA is filed under the name uncultured Bacteroidota bacterium. Its description in RNAcentral is "bacterial SSU rRNA". It matches the Rfam family "Bacterial small subunit ribosomal RNA", at positions 96 to 868 of the family's 1533-position model. Lineage: Bacteria; Pseudomonadati; Bacteroidota. The record is from RNAcentral.
CGGCGCACGGGUGCGUAACACGUAUGCAACCUACCUUUUACUGGGGUAUAGCUCAGAGAAAUCUGAAUUAAUCCCCCAUAAUGUUAUUGAGUGGCAUCAUUUGAUAACUAAAGCUGAGGCGGUAAAAGAUGGGCAUGCGUUGUAUUAGCUAGUUGGUGAGGUAAUGGCUCACCAAGGCUACGAUACAUAGGGGUUCUGAGAGGAUGAUCCCCCACACUGGUACUGAGACACGGACCAGACUCCUACGGGAGGCAGCAGUAGGGAAUAUUGGUCAAUGGACGCAAGUCUGAACCAGCCAUGCCGCGUGCAGGAAGACGGCCCUCUGGGUUGUAAACUGCUUUUAUAUGGGAAGAAACCCCGGGAUGCGUUCCGGGCUGACGGUACCAUAUGAAUAAGGAUCGGCUAACUUCGUGCCAGCAGCCGCGGUAAGACGAAGGAUCCAAGCGUUGUCCGGAUUUACUGGGUUUAAAGGGUGCGUAGGCGGAAAAUUAAGUCAGUGGUGAAAGCCCGCAGCUCAACUGCGGAACUGCCAAUGAAACUGAUUUUCUUGAAUACGGUUGAGGUAGAUGGAAUAUAACAUGUAGCGGUGAAAUGCUUAGAUAUGUUAUAGAACACCAAUUGCGAAGGCAGUCUACUAAGCCGUCAUUGACGCUGAGGCACGAAAGCGUGGGGAGCGAACAGGAUUAGAUACCCUGGUAGUCCACGCCGUAAACGUUGAUUACUCGCUGUUGGCAAUACACUGUCAGCGGCUAAGCGAAAGCGUUAAGUAAU